Molecule: ribosomal RNA, 253 nt
Filed under: uncultured bacterium
Lineage: Bacteria
Description: partial 16S ribosomal RNA
Rfam family: Bacterial small subunit ribosomal RNA
Source: RNAcentral
UGCAGAGGGUGCGAGCGUUGUUCGGAAUUACUGGGCGUGAAGCGCGUGUAGGCGGUUUAAUACGUCGAUCGUGAAAUCCCUAGGCUUAACCAAGGAACUGCGGUCGAAACUAUUAAACUAGAGUAUCGGCAGGGGUGCCGGAAUUCCCGGUGUAGAGGUGAAAUUCGUAGAUAUCGGGAGGAACACCUGUGGCGAAGGCGGCCACCUGGAAGAUUACUGGCGCUGAGACGCGAAAGCGUGGGGAGCAAACUGG